UUUCCUGUGUCUUCGUAACAGAAGUUAAGAAAGACUGGCAUGGUUUUGCUUUUGGGUUUUUCUCUCUCUAGCAGGUGAGGCAAGUGGUAGUGAGAUUUCACAGUUAUUUCUAGUUUAUGGGCACCAGUUCAGCGUUUUCUCUCUCUAGCCCUCGAGUUUCAGGGCUUUCUCUCUCUACAACUGAUGUUAUUGCAGGGGGUUUCCAGCCCGCGUGAAUUCAUUGACGACUCCCCCAUCGUUUACUACCUUACUUUUCUUCGGAGGUGUCUGGCAACGAGUCUUAAAGGUUAGAGCGUGUGAAGUAUGCUCCCGCUGGAGCAUAUUAUACAUUGACUGCCUCCCUUCUCUAAAUCAGGUUAACCUCUCAACUCUAUUUCCUCCCCUUCUGUUUUUUUUUAUAGGUACAUUUGUGUUGAUCUCUCUCUUAUAAGGAAAAAGUUUACAUAAGGAUGCAACCUUAUAUAAUGUAGAACUACAGAUGCAUUUCAAAAAUUUAUUGGAAAAUAUAGUUUUAAUGUUGAAAAACCCUUUUGAUUGAUCAUCUAGAUGUAUGACCAUGAAAAAUAAAAAGAUUUUAAGUCUCAGACAUAAUACAUUUUACAAUAUAUUAUCUACACCGUCCAUUUUCAAGAUUUUCAUAUGUUUAUAGUUCUACUUGAUUUUAAAAAAAUUUAAAAUUUAAAAUUUUAUAAUUAGAUAUAAAAAUAGAUUUUGAAACAAUCCUAAAAACAUUUUACAUCAAAAUUAUAUGCCAUAAUAAAAUUUAAAAGUGCACGUUAUCUCUACCGCUACGGAUGCAUUCCCUCUUAUAAUUCUCCAUUCACAGUUUGGCCAAAAUUGAGUGAAACUCAAGUAGCCAACCUCUUGACUCCCAUGGAAGUUUGGAAUUAAAUGGCAGCACAUGUGAUAUGUAUGAUGCAAGAAACUCUCAUUAUUUGGGGGGAUCAGGACAAGGUCUGCCCAGUAGAUUUGGCAUAUAGGUUGAAAAUGUUUGCCCCUCCUCUCUCUCUCUCUCAGUUUUAAGAGAGAAUUUGAAGCUAAGAAGUUGGUGGUUGAACAUUUACAGGCAAUUGGGGGAAAAAUCAACCCUGGCAGUUCUAGAGAAUGUGGGGCAUGCCCCUCAGAUGGAGAAUCCCAAUGAUGUCACUGAUUUGAUAAAACUAUUCAUUGAAUAUUUUUCAUCUAGAUAGAAGCAAUGCUAGAGUUAUUCAUUGAUCAGAAGAAAUUAAUUGUUGAGUUAAAACCACCCCUUUAAGUUUAGGAAUACUGAAAAUUUGAUUAUAUUAUUAGCUUUUAUGCUACCUUAAUUGGGCCAAGAUAGAUGAAAUUAUGUAAUUAUCUAGUUGCUAAAUUACCUCCCCAAGUCAAAGAAGGGAAACUGUUAAAAUAUCUUUUACCUUGCAGCAA
This 1407-nucleotide long non-coding RNA is filed under the name Amborella trichopoda. RNAcentral describes it as "long non-coding RNA (ATRI_LNC003818)". The record is from RNAcentral. Lineage: Eukaryota; Viridiplantae; Streptophyta; Magnoliopsida; Amborellales; Amborellaceae.